Molecule: ribosomal RNA, 443 nt
Filed under: uncultured bacterium
Lineage: Bacteria
Description: SSU rRNA
Rfam family: Bacterial small subunit ribosomal RNA
Source: RNAcentral
AGAACGAACGCUGGCGGCAGCUUAACACAUGCAAGUCGAGCGCCCCGCAAGGGGAGCGGCAGACGGGUGAGUAACGCGUGGGAACAUACCCUCCGGUUCGGAAUAGCUCAGGGAAACUUGGAUUAAUACCGGAUACGGCCUAGCGGCGAAAGAUUCAUCGCCGGAGGAUUGGCCCGCGUCUGAUUAGCUAGUUGGUGGGGUAAUGGCCCACCAAGGCGACGAUCAGUAGCUGGUCUGAGAGGAUGAUCAGCCACAUUGGGACUGAGACACGGCCCAAACUCCUACGGGAGGCAGCAGUGGGGAAUAUUGGACAAUGGGCGCAAGCCUGAUCCAGCCAUGCCGCGUGAGUGAUGACGGCCUUAGGGUUGUAAAGCUCUUUCGCUAGGGACGAUAAUGACGGUACCUAGACAAGAAGCCCCGGCUAACUUCGUGCCAGCAGCCGC